UCAAAUGGACAUUUAAACUCAAUUAAAAAGUUUACAGAGGGCAUUUUUCCACAUACUCUGCCAUAUAAGAUCUAAACAGAUCUGCUCAGAUGUUCCUAAAUUUUCUUGUUUGAGAGAAGUACAAAACUGAAUAAUUCAGUAUCCAGCCCUGACUUUUAGUGAAGAUAUUGUCAUAGCACCAUUUACAAUGUCCUUGCUCCUCUGAGGUUUGCAUUUUGAUGAAAAUUCUGACCAUAGAAACAGAAAGAAAUGUCUGUGGUUUUAAGCAUCAGCAGCCCAUGAGCAAGUUGCUUUGUCUACUCUUUAGAAAAAGGCAUCUCUAAAGCCCUAGGACACAGUAUUCAGAGAGGAAGUAGGAGCUUUUGUCCAAAAUUCCAGAUUGAAGCUUGGAAGAUCUGUACUCAGUUAUUAUUCUUACCACAGGCUUCCUGUGAGGAAUGAAGAAGAUAUUUUCAAUUUUAGUGACUCACAGGUAGAAAAGAGUUUUUAUCACCUAUAUCUAUUCCAAGCAUAAACUCUGUAGGUUCUCUGGGUUCUUGGAAUAAGUUUUUUGCAGAAGGCAAAAGAACAACUGAGCUGUUGCAGAUGACCCACUUUUAACUGGAUCCCAGCAAUGACAGGCCAAUGAGGAUAUGAAGUUCAUUUCUUGUUGUUCCAUAGCAUUUAUUCAUCCCCUUGGGAGCUGGGAACUGUUGUGUUUUCUGACCUGACCCGUGUUGCCACAACUACAUUUGUUACUUUGAGUACAGGAUAUGUUUUAUGGGACCUGCAGCCCUAAUUCCCCACAAUGUUCACAUCAGCCCAAUGUCAGGGUCCUCACCCAGUAUGGGACAAAUUUCAGAGAUCCAAACGCAUCAGUCCCAAUUUUGUGGUGAUGAACACGAAGUCUGGAUACUGGAUUGGGAUCUUGGAUACAUUUCUCUGGCAAUAGAGGAGAAACACCCUUCUGCCAUAUCAAUAAAUGGAAUAUCAUCCGACUGUUUUCACACAAAAGAGUCAGAAAGCAGUUUUCUUAACCUCUCAGUGAGUUUUUCUUUGUGUAUUAAUUGGUGUUAUUUAGAAGCACAAUAGUGAUUCUUAAGCUAGGAGUCCCAUCACGUGGCACUCGGAUCUGGAGCUAGGGCAAGGCACUUAACCUCUCCUUACUUUAGUUUGUGAAACAAACAACACUAUUUUAACUACUUUUCAAGGAUAUUAGAUAAAAUUAAUUAGUGUUUGUACUGCAAUAAAGGUCUAUAUAAUUGGAAAGUCUUAUAAGAAUCUCGAUCGUUUUAGUUAUAUUUUGCGUUGAUUAACUUUGAAGGGUUAGUUUUGAUACUUUGUGCUGUAUUUGAAGUGUGCUAUUGUUUGAUCUCUGUAAAUAACAGCUGACUUUUCAAGCUCCUGUAACGAACCUGUUUAGUGUCUGCGUCUGCCAAUGCCCUCUACUGGUUUGAAACACAAUCGCUCAGCAGAGGGUAUUGCAGGAAACUAAUAUUUAGAUGAUUUUCCUUGGGGAGAAGUAGAGUUUUGGUUGUGUAGCCGAGCUCUCUGUGAAGUGCAAGGAGCUGCACCAUGGGCAGGUGACACCUGGGUGACUCUUGUCAUGCUGCACACACAUAACACCGUGCCAGGUGUUUUGUGUUGCCUUCUGAGUUUUCGUUUCUCUGGCUUUGCUGUUCUUGCCAUGAAUGACAGGCUCCCAGGUAGGUCUGGAGAGGGAAGAAGGCAGUUACCUGAGAGCUGCUGUGCAGAUGUUCCACCAACACCACGGCCACCUCUCCAAGGAGCCUCUCUGCGCUUCCCCCGGUCCUGGGCCUUCCAAAAGUGAGGGGUGCUUGUGUUGACAGGCUGUGGGACAAAUAACCCCGGGGGCACAGGAGCUGCAGAGGUAAUGAAGUGCCUUGAGGAAAAAGUCUUAACUAUCAAGGGAUAGAUCCACUCCCCCUGCCACAAACCAGAGGUCACGUGGCUGAGGAAUGUGUAUCCAAAGAUAGGGCUACCUUCCGAGAACUCUACUUACAGUUUACACAGAGCUUGUUUCCAAGAGAAGGAUGUAAUUUAAAAGAUGGAGACAUCAUCUAUACCAUCCCUUAUCUCUUAACAGCCCAUCAUUUGUGUUAUGGUUGGAUCAGCAGCCAGAUCUCUGCAGCUGUGUGGAGUGGGCAGACAGUUUGACAACCUGAGGAGGAAAACAAGUCAAAACACAGAUUGCCAGGGUCUGAAAUUUUCUACUUUCUUGUAUAACAAUGUGGAAAUACUGCAGCUGGCACGUCCCACCAUGUGCAGAUGGAUCAGCAGCAGCACACAGAGACACUGAGCUGGCAAAAAGCAUUUCCUUGGUGUCCACAUCUGCAGAGAUCUGUGCACACAGACCUGGCCACCCUCUGCUGUGCAGCUCAAUGCUCCUUGACUGCAGCCUUGCUGUGAAAGCCUCAGCCAAAGCUGCCCCUUUCCCCCCCUACUCUGAAGCACCGUUACCUUCCUCCUCUUCCUCCUGCACAUCUGCACAGGAUAUUUUUUUGGCCAGAAUAAGAUGAGCACAGGUGGUAACAUAAGGCACAUUGCAUCUAGAUUUGACACCUGGUGCACAUAGGGCUUACAAGUUUUAAUCAGUUUUAUGCAAGUUUUUGGCACUCUGGUUUUCUAUUUUUUUUUUUUAAACCAGUUUAAUGAGUGGGCAAAAAGCAGCAGCAGAUUUACUUAGAGGGGGUUCAAAUUUGUCUUCAAAGGGUCUGUGUUUCAGAAGUGUUUAUUUCUUUUUACAGAAUUAUAUGUACAUAAAUAAAAAGAUUUGUAAAUUUUACAGAUGGAUAAAUUCAGCUUUUUUUUUAUAAGCUAAUACCCAAGUUGGCUAUGGCCAGUCUUAGCUGACAGUCACAAAGCCACAUGGAUUCCAUGCAGA
Long non-coding RNA from Chiroxiphia lanceolata (lance-tailed manakin), 2884 nucleotides. RefSeq lists it as uncharacterized. NCBI's taxonomy places the organism in Eukaryota, Metazoa, Chordata, Aves, Passeriformes, Pipridae. The record is from RefSeq and is a predicted model, not a curated record. The transcript is spliced from 5 exons.